GGUGGAUGUGGAGCUUGUGUAGUCCUUAUAGCAACCUAUAAUCCAACAAAAGAUGAAGUGACCAAAUUCUCCGCAAGUUGAUGCCUGGCCCUGCUCUACAGCAUAAAUCUCUGCUCAGCCAUCACCACCGAAGGCCUGGGAAAUACACAAGAUGGCUUCCAUUCUAUUCAGAAAAGAAUGUCCGGGUUCCAUGGUUCUCAGUGCGGCUUCUGCACUCCCGGCAUGUGCAUGUCUAUUUUCACUUCUCUUGCCAAUGCUGACAAGUCCAAGAAGCCCGAACCACGAAAGGGGUUCUCAAAGUUGACAGUAUCUGAAGCAGAAAGGGCUUUCUCAGGCAACAUGUGUAGAUGUACCGGCUACCGACCGAUCGUCGAUGCGUGCAAAAGUUUUGCUUCAGAUGUUGACCUGGAGGAUUUGGGCCUCAAUAUAUUCUGGAAGAAAGGUGAUAAGGACGCCGACGUCAGCAAGUUGCCAGCUUACACUCUUGGUGGUGGAGUCUGCACUUUCCCGGACUUCCUGAAAUCCGAGAUAAAAUCUUCGCUCCUUCAUCUAACUGAUGUUUCAGAUGUCACGGUCUCCAGGGUGGGUUGGUAUCAUCCUAAAAGCAUUGGGCAGUAUUAUGACUUGCUGAACUCUGGCAUUUUUAGUGACUGCACAGUUAAAGUGGUUGUCGGGAACACAAGUUCUGGUGUCAAGGGAUACAAGGAUCGGGAUCUAUAUAACAAGUAUAUUGACAUCGGUGACAUUCCUGAACUUUCAGCUGUUUGGAAGAAAGACAGUGGCUUUGAAAUCGGAGCAGCUACACCAAUUUCUAAAACUAUUGAGAUACUCGAGCAAGAAGCUAGAUCUACAUCAUGUGCAAAUGGAAGUGUGGUUUUCAGAAAACUCGCUGAGCACAUGAGCAAGGUGGCCACACCAUUUGUCCGCAACACAGCAAGCCUUGGUGGGAACAUAAUUCUAGCACAGAAAUACCCGUUUCCCUCGGACAUCGCGACCAUACUUCUUGGUGCUGCUUCAACUGUUCGUCUUCAGGUUUAUUCAGAAACACUAGAGGUAACUUUUGAAGAGUUUCUGGAGCAGCCUCCUCUUGAUCCCAGUACAUUGCUCCUGAGCAUAUUUAUUCCACAUUGGGCUUCAGAUUCUCAGAAAGAAAGUAAGGUGAUCUUCGAAACUUACCGAGCGGCACCUCGCCCUCUUGGCAAUGUUGUUUCAUAUGUUAACUCUGCUAUGCUGGGCCAUGUCUUCCUGAAUGAAUCGUCUGGUGAUCUUGUGUUGAGUAACCUACACAUGGCCUUUGGUGCCUAUGGGACCGAACAUGCUAUUAGAGUAACAAAAGUUGAACAACACCUGAACGGUAGUUCGAUUACUUAG
Molecule: ribosomal RNA, 1371 nt
Filed under: Triticum aestivum (bread wheat)
Lineage: Eukaryota; Viridiplantae; Streptophyta; Magnoliopsida; Poales; Poaceae
Description: partial small subunit ribosomal RNA
Source: RNAcentral